CGCUUUAUAUUUUUGUAAAAGUUGUGUGAUAAUAUUGAGUCAUAGCAACGUCGGAAACCUUAUCACUUAUCAGCGCUUAUUCUUUAGGGGGUUGGUCUAGAUAUUUAGGUCGAAUGUACAACAGCCCGCCUCUAUAUUUCAUUGGCAGUGGCGAUCGCGUCAACAAGUUGCGUGGGCCGGGAAAAUUGUUUGCGCAUCCUCCGUAGCCCUGCGCAAGCCAUCUCUUUCGUACACCCGACAAAUGGCUGGGCCGUCGAAGCCUCUACAGUCGUACUCUCUUCGACGCUCCCAACUUACCAUCGCAUCGGGAACACUCAUGUGGGACGCACGUGCGAAACUGCCUGCUGCUUUUAAACAAAAAAACACCUUUGGCCAACAUCAAGUUCGAAACGUAGUACGGAGUAUUGAUAAUACACAUCUCGGAUCGGACAUUAGACAAGUUUUUGCCGUUGGUUGGUGCAUGUGAGCCUGGACUUGGUCGGGUGCAGACGCGAUGCGAAAUGGAGUGCGACGAAACGACAGAUGCCCGAGCUGCCCGACGCACGCAAUCACCGUUAUGGCGGCUGAUAUUGACAUGAGUCAUUCUGGCAGACGUCAACGGAGGGAAGACAGCGCAAUGCAUAUUAAGAAAAAACUGUAUUAUUACCGAAAACAGGUACUUACACAACCGUCGAUCUAAUGAGCAAAUUACGUCAGCUAUGAUUUAGGUACGAUCAGAUUAUUGGCAGUUUGUGUCGCCUGGGAACGAUGAGAAAAUAGAAAUUCAACAAAUAAGAUAGCCUGCCCAAUGGAGAUGGACAAAUGGGGUUGAGGCGGUCUUCGUAACCAUGAACACAGGUAGGUCACAUUAUUAGAAAGCGCGCACACAUUU
Long non-coding RNA from Papilio polytes (common Mormon), 871 nucleotides. RefSeq lists it as uncharacterized. The record is from RefSeq and is a predicted model, not a curated record. NCBI's taxonomy places the organism in Eukaryota, Metazoa, Arthropoda, Insecta, Lepidoptera, Papilionidae. The transcript is spliced from 5 exons.